RNAcentral lists this long non-coding RNA (1018 nucleotides) under Durio zibethinus. Its description in RNAcentral is "long non-coding RNA (DZIB_LNC001247)". The record is from RNAcentral. Lineage: Eukaryota; Viridiplantae; Streptophyta; Magnoliopsida; Malvales; Malvaceae.
AGCAACCGUAUAGUUGUACCAACCCCUUGAGGUAAGCCCUAACAGCAUUUUUUUUUUUUUUACAAAAAUAUUUAUUUAGCUAACCUAUCUAAUACGAAACAAAAUCGCCCAAUCAUCCUUACUUUUGCAAUACAGGAUACUUGCUUUUUAUUUUUUUAAUAAAAAAAAUCUUUUACGUAAUGUUGAUGUCGAAAUUUCUUGAAAUUUCUUAAUUGAAAAUUAAGUUAGGAUGUUAAUUAACGUGUUUUUUUGUCCGCAAAAUUGGCUUGAAACCUUCGGAAUUGCAAAUUUUUCAAAAGAAAAUAAUUGAGCUAACUUUCAGGGGGCAAGAAAAAGAUUUGAGGAUGCAAAACUUUGAUUUUUCUUUUUCUUCUUUUUGUAUAAAGGAGAGAAAUUACUGUCGACCUUUGCUAUAUCGCGAUCAACAUGUAUGUCGUAUUAGGUUAGAGCUAGAGCCCCCAAUGUUGGCUUUUGAAUAAUGGAUGGAACUUCCCAUUCCAUCAACUUCUCAAAAAAAAUUCCAUUCAUACAUAAAUUUCUUGAAAAUUGACAAACCAAAGGAGGUUGGCAUAAAAAAUCAUUAGUUUUCAACCACGAAAAAAGGACAAAGAAUUUAAAAACCUUCGCCUUUGGUGACGGAUAUUAAGUCGCUUUCCUAAUCAAAAUUUCUCUUUUGGAGGCUGCUAAAAGUUUUUAUUGUGUAUACUAUAGACCAUUUAGUGUUGUCAUUUGUCACGUACUUCAUCAAAAUUAAUGUUACACCAAUGUGGACCAAGUUUCCAGCAUUUCAAUCUUUAAUGAUGUGGAUAGAUAUUGGUCUAUUUCUUUGUUUUAUGUUCAAAUCAAUUUUUAAAUUAAAGGUGGCUACUUCUUUGGCUAAACUCAUACAUCAAUAUAUAAAUAUUACUUUGUAUUUUCCUUAUGAUGAUGAAAACCCUAGAAGAAAAUGAAAUUCUAGCUACAUAUAAUUUAUAUAGUUGGUUUUUUUCUCUCUCUCUUAACUAUUUACCAAAUUUUG